This 537-nucleotide ribosomal RNA is filed under the name uncultured bacterium. RNAcentral describes it as "bacterial SSU rRNA". It matches the Rfam family "Bacterial small subunit ribosomal RNA", at positions 772 to 1306 of the family's 1533-position model. The record is from RNAcentral.
ACUCAAUAGAUACCCAGGUAGUCCACGCCCUAAACGAUGUCUACUAGUUGUUGGUGGAGUAAAAUCCAUGAGUAAACGCAGCUAACGCGCGAAGUAGACCGCCUGGGGAGUACGGUCGCAAGAUUAAAAACUCAAAGGAAUUGACGGGGGGCCCGCACAAGCGGUGGAUUAUGUGGAUUAAUUCGAUGCAACGCGAAAAACCUUACCUGGCCUUGACAUGCCACUAACGAAGCAGAGAUGCAUUAGGUGCCCGUAAGGGAAAGUGGACACAGGUGCUGCAUGGCUGUCGUCAGCUCGUGUCGUGAGAUGUUGGGUUAAGUCCCGCAACGAGCGCAACCCUUGCCAUUAAUUGCCAUCAUUUAGUUGGGCACUUUAAUGGACUGCCGGUGACAAACCGGAGGAAGGUGGGGAUGACGUCAAGUCCUCAUGGCCCUUAUGGCCAGGGCUUCACACGUAAUACAAUGGUAGGUACAGAGAGUUGCCAACCCGCGAGGGGAGCUAAUCUCAGAAAGCCGAUCGUAGUCCGGAUUGUUCUCU